UAAGAAGAGACCAGCAACCGGGCGU
This 25-nucleotide unclassified non-coding RNA is filed under the name Mus musculus (house mouse). RNAcentral describes it as "oocyte_clustered_small_RNA13297". Lineage: Eukaryota; Metazoa; Chordata; Mammalia; Rodentia; Muridae. The record is from RNAcentral.